GUCCAGUCGAGUGACACCUGAAUCAACCAGUAACGCUCAGCAACAAAGGCGGGCGCUGAAGGGGUGGGCGUGGCUUGUGCAGUGUUGUGGUAGUGGAUUGAGAAGAACGUGUGGUGCCGUGUUGUGGGCGGGGUUUUGGAAGAGUGAGGGUGUGGUUUAGGCUGCACUCAGUAGUAGCGCCCGCUCGUUUUCGUGUGGGAAUCUGGAGAGGACGGUACGUCUGCUCACGGCGGGUGACUGACGGACUGAGGGACCCGCUGCACUUCUCCUCAUACAUAAAAGAGUAGUUUGGAGUAGCUGGAAGAGGAAAGAACCACAUGCAAUUACAGCACGCUUAUUUCCCUAACCUGGAUUGAGAAGUCUGAUACCAUGGCAAGUGAAGCAGCUACAGGUAUUGAAGUAAAUGGUUCAGAAGAGUCUGAAAUACAGAAUGACCAGUUGAGCGCUUCAGAUGACCAGGGCCAUCAGCCAGCAGAAAACAGGGAGGUUACUGAC
This is a long non-coding RNA of Hyla sarda, 495 nucleotides long. RefSeq lists it as uncharacterized. Lineage: Eukaryota; Metazoa; Chordata; Amphibia; Anura; Hylidae. The transcript has 3 exons. The record is from RefSeq and is a predicted model, not a curated record.